UAUGUUUUAUGUUAUUCUAAACUUGUCUUCCUGAUAACAACAUGUUCUUCCCUCCCCUCACCUGAAAAGGUAGGCUGUAUCACACUAACAACUACAGCUAGGUCCAUAUAUAUUUGGACAUUGACACAAGUUUUGUUUUUUUACCUGCUUAUCCAAACACUUUCCAUUUAUAAUUAUAUAAUGGACAGAAUGUGUAGUCUCUCAGCUUUCAUUUGAGGGUAUCCACAUUCAAAUUGGAGAAAGGGGACCAAAAGUAAUUGGACAAUUAACUCAAAGUCAUUAUCAGUAAUGCAGACAAAAGGCCUGGGGUUGAUUUGAGGUGUGGUGCUUGCAUUUAGAAGAUUUUGCUGUGAAAAGACAACAUGUGGUUAAAGGAGUUUUCCAUGAAGGUGAACAAAGCUAUCCUUAAGCUAUGAAAACAGAAAAAAAAAACAUCUGCUACAAUAACAGGAGUGGCAAAAUCUACUGUUUGGUACAUCCAAGGAAAGAAAGCACUGGUGAACUCAGCAACGCAAAAAAAGAUGGACGUCCAUGGAAGACAACAAUUGUGGAUGAUCGCAGUAUCAUUUCCACAGUGAAGAGAAACCACCUCACAACAUCAACCAAGUGAACAACACUCUCCAGGAGGUAUGCGUAUCAAUAUCCAAGAAGACUGCAUGAAAGUAAAUACAGAGAGUUCACUGCAAAGUGCAAACCGCUCAUAAGCCUCAAGAAUAAAAAGGCUAGAUUGGACUUUGCUCAAAAAAUAAAUAAGUAAAUAAAAACGUCUAAAAAAAAAGCCAAACCCCAGCACAGUUCUGGAAAAAAAAUAUUUCGACAGAUGAAACCAAAAUCAACCUCUACCAGAAUGAUGGCAAGAAAAAGGAGAAGAGUAUGGAGAAGCUGUGGAACAGCUCAUGAUCCAAAUAAUACCACAUCAUCUGUGAAGCAGGACAGGGGCAGUGCGAUGGCUUGGGUGUGCAUGGCUGCCAGCGGCACUGGGACACUACUGUUUGUUGAUGAUGUGACACAGGACAAAAGCCAAAUGAGACGGAGACAUACACUCUUUUCAGAUCCAGCUAAUGCAGUCAAAUUGAUUGGGCAGCGUUUCAUAAUACAGAUGGACAAUGACCCAACACAUACAGCAAAGCAACCCAGGAGUUUAUUAAUGCAACGAAAUUGAAUAUUCUUGACUGGCCAAGUCAGUCACCUAACCGUAACCCAGUUGGGUAUGCAUUUCAUUUAUUGAAGACUAAACUUUGGACAGCAACGCCCACAAACAAACAGCAACUGAAAGCCGCUGCAGUAAAGGCCUAGCAGAGCAUUAAAAAGG
Astatotilapia calliptera (eastern happy) is the source of this 1312-nucleotide long non-coding RNA. The record is from Ensembl. Lineage: Eukaryota; Metazoa; Chordata; Actinopteri; Cichliformes; Cichlidae.